Nelumbo nucifera (sacred lotus) is the source of this 1928-nucleotide non-coding RNA. NCBI's taxonomy places the organism in Eukaryota, Viridiplantae, Streptophyta, Magnoliopsida, Proteales, Nelumbonaceae. The record is from RefSeq and is a predicted model, not a curated record.
AAUAAAAAAGAGGAAGGAUAGAGCGGGACCUUUCUGGUCUGCAAUCUGGUGGGGGGCAGAUGUGAACUCCGCUCGCACGAGCCUUCCUGGCGCCUACAUGGACAGACGCUACUGAUGUGGCAUACGUGAUUGGUGCCCAUCUGGCGACAACUAAUUCCCAGCAGAUCAGAACUCGAACAUUACCAGACCAAUCAACAUAAAACACGUGCAGAAACAAACAAACAAACGAAUCAGUAGUUCAGGACCGUCCGUUGUAUUUGGAUAGAUCACUGACGAGACAAAUCAUCUCUUCCAGAGCAUCAGAUUGGAAUCCUAUGUAACAGUGACCGGUCCGGCAGUUAAGAGUUGAUAAUGACAUUGGAGUUUUUAUUUACACGUGUCACCACCAAGUACAAAGUGGCACAUCGAGCACGUACAAAAUCAGAGAACAAAUGUACGGUAAUCGGAGCCCCACCAACACAGAGUCGCCAGCCACCGGCCCAUCGCAUUGGCAAUUUGGCAUCUUCUUUCCUUCCUUCCUGUUCCUGAACUCGGCUCGGUUGAUUGCGGUUACACGGCAAACAUUUUGACGAGUCUUUUCACUUUUCAAUUUCGGGACUCAGAGCUGGAUUUUCCGCCAUACGAGAGAUCUCUCCCAUGCAUUCAUUCGAGCCUGUGGCUGACUGGCUCUGGCUCUCUGCAACCAAAACGAUACGCGUGAAUGCACUUGUCACGGAAUCUCUCCCGCUCUUUCUUCUAAUCCCUUCGAAAUAUUAAACUGGAUGUUGUGCAUUGCGACUACGCAUUAAUAAGGUGGACAACACUUCUUCGGCCACCGAACGCAUCGGUUUUGUGCAAAGAUCAGGUUCUCCUUGAGGAUUCAUGUAUAAUGAAAUGGCAAAACAGGAUUCAUGUAGCUGAGAUCAGAUGAUGAUGAUGAUGAUGAUGAUGAUGAUGGGUUGUCCUUGAAGACUCCAGUACAAGGUUUUAUAGCUACAAGGAUUAAGUACAUCCUGGAUAGACCUCAAGGUGUGAUGUGUGCCAAUUUCUGAUCCAGUUGGAUGACUAAGCACCCAUUAUGUAAACUUUUCCAAUUGUUGGAUCAAGCAAUAUAUUUGUGGUGAGCAUUGACAACAGUGGGAUAUAUUGGAUAGUCGUGUUAACUCAAUCACAAUGACUCGUGGCAUUAAAUGGUCCCACUAGAGAGCCAACCAAAAGACUUUCAUAGGAGAGGAAAGGCCUUACUUGCAGAGGAUCCAAGUUUAGCUAACAUGCAAACAGAAGAGCCUGGUUGAAGCAGUAUGCCAGUAACUUCUAGUUGCUUGCUUCUAAGAAAUCCAGCCCUUUGUUACUAUCAGUGUAUGUAAUCUUUCUUCUGUGGUUAGAGAAAAAAGCAAUGUAAUCAUUCUUACACAUUUCAUGUGUUUUUAAUACGAAAAUGUUAUUGUGCAACUCCAAAAUGUAAUAAUGAGGGAAUUGAUUAAUUUUCCCAACUAAUUUUGGAACGUUUUUCCUUCUUUGAUGGAGAAUCAUUCAGUGCCUUUCGGACUAAUCUGCUAGACAAAACCUGUUAUACACAAUGCAUCAACCAAUCAGAUCUACACACCUGUCUUACAAGCCCGGAUCUGCCAAUACAUCUUCCAACAAGAUUUAUAAUAACAUGUUUUGUACUUGUAUGUUGUCAUUGAUGAAGUUGUACUUUGAAAGGGCAAUCAUGCAUUGCAUUAGAUAUGCUGUUAUAUAUCAUGUUGAAAGCUGUGGUGGUAGCGUCUUAUUGCUAGCAGAUUCGGGCUCUUUUUAAACUCGUCCCAUCUUAAGGUUUAAUUUAGAUUUUUUGUUUUCUUAUUAACUAAUGGAAUAGGGUCAAUAGGAUGCUAGAGGACAGAGCAGUCCAUUGGAUCUGUCCCUUUGUAGUUAUAGUUUCUUUCAAAUUAAGGGAGCGUUUUAUA